CCCUAUGUCAAGCUUUCUGCAACAAAAGGUGCAUGUUUUGACAAAAACCCUUGUAUGGCUUUCCAGAUUUAAGGAAUAAGUGAAGGGUCCACAUAUUGCUUUUUUUUUAUAUAAUUUAUUCCAUAAAUCAUAAAGAGCUUUCUUUCAUGACAAAUUUUGAUUUGAUUUAAAUAGUCUUUUAGAAAACCACAUAAAAUUGACUAGUAAGCCAUGAACAUGAGGUCAAAGUCUGAUGAACCCUGUAAGACAGACAUGUACACCUUACAAUUAAUCCAUACACCAAUUAUAGAGGCUUAUAGUAUCUGAGAAAGACAAAAACCUCAAAAAUAUUUCCACUGAACCAUAGAGGUCAAGGCCAGAUGAAUGUUUUAGGGUGGCAUUGAGCUUUACUUUUCUAUAAUUUCUAGAUAUAUAAAGUGUCUUUACUACUCUAUUGUUAAAAGAUGGGAGAUUUUUCAUGUUUGAUGCAUAUUGUUUUAUUUUUUUUAAUUUCAGAAAUUGAACCUUUUUUUUGCAUAUUCUUUUAACAAUAACUGCUAUAAAUAGUUGUCCGACAAUCUUGAUGAUCCUGAAUGUAGCAGUACUAUGCAGGUUGUUCAUUGUGUGUGUUAGUUUUACAUCAUAUGAUCUUUAUUGACAACUAGAGGCUCUAAAGAGCCUGUGUCACUCACCUUGGUCUAUGUGAAUAUUAAACAAAGAAAGCAGAUGGAUUCAUGACAAAAUUGUGUUUUGGUGAUGGUGAUGUGUUCGUACAUCUUACUUAACUGAACAUUCUUGCUGCUUACAAUUAUCUCUAUCUAUAAUGAACUUGGCCCAGUUAUUUCAGUGGAAAAUGUUAGUAAAAAUUUACAAAUUUUAUGAAAAUUGUUUAAAAUUGACUAUAAAAAAAAAGUAAAAUCACAAAAAUACUGAACUUAGAGGAAGAUCAAUUGGGAAAGUCCAUAAUCACAUGGCAAAAUCAAAUGUAUUCCGUGGAACACACA
Molecule: long non-coding RNA, 983 nt
Filed under: Mytilus galloprovincialis (Mediterranean mussel)
Lineage: Eukaryota; Metazoa; Mollusca; Bivalvia; Mytilida; Mytilidae
Source: RNAcentral